This 376-nucleotide ribosomal RNA is filed under the name uncultured bacterium. RNAcentral describes it as "bacterial SSU rRNA". It matches the Rfam family "Bacterial small subunit ribosomal RNA", at positions 523 to 898 of the family's 1533-position model. The record is from RNAcentral.
AUACGUAGGGGGCGAGCGUUGUCCGGAAUUAUUGGGCGUAAAGCGCGCGCAGGCGGCGAUUUAAGUUCGGUGUUUAAGCCCGGGGCUCAACCCCGGAUCGCAUCGAAAACUGGAUGGCUUGAGUGCAGGAGAGGGAAGCGGAAUUCCACGUGUAGCGGUGAAAUGCGUAGAGAUGUGGAGGAACACCAGUGGCGAAGGCGGCUUCCUGGCCUGUAACUGACGCUGAGGCGCGAAAGCGUGGGGAGCAAACAGGAUUAGAUACCCUGGUAGUCCACGCCGUAAACGAUGAGUGCUAGGUGUCGGGGGUUUCGACACCCGCGGUGCCGAAGUUAACACAGUAAGCACUCCGCCUGGGGAGUACGGUCGCAAGACUGAA